Long non-coding RNA from Engraulis encrasicolus (European anchovy), 548 nucleotides. RefSeq lists it as uncharacterized. The record is from RefSeq and is a predicted model, not a curated record. The transcript is spliced from 4 exons. Lineage: Eukaryota; Metazoa; Chordata; Actinopteri; Clupeiformes; Engraulidae.
AUGACCUGAUGACCCGAGUUUCCAAUAACAUGCCAUAAAUAAUGAGCUGCGCCGGCGACAGCCAGAUCUUCCACAUAUCAUGGACAGGAUGAAGCGUACUCAAGGGCUGAAUGGCCAAGCAAACAGAUGCAUUAUGAAAUGAGGCUGAGGUUGGAGACAUGGAGAUAAACAUCCACAAUGCCCUGACAACAUUGGCACCAAAUAUCAUCAGGGCGGCUCUGCUGGGGAGCCACAAGGGACAAUUCACCACCUUGAUGACUGAGGCCAAAGCAGACGAUCAUCUGAAGAGUGCUGCGGAAGACUGGUGCGAUCGUACCAGAGCAGAAGUUUUGCUACUUGGAUGAGGAGCCAUCCAGCCCAUCUCCAGUAAUGGUGUCACACAACACUGUGAGUCCCCUGCUGUUUACUACCCACCGCAUCCAUCGCGACUGGGGAGAACAUCCUUCAUGCCCUAUAAAGCCUCGCCACACGUCAUUUUUUUUUAUGAUUAUUUUUUUAAUUCAAUAUGUGAUAUGUUUGAACUUUGAACUAUCUUCCGAAACGUUUGU